AUUGAACGCUGGCGGCAGGCCUAACACAUGCAAGUCGAACGGCAGCACAGAAGAGCUUGCUCUUUGGGUGGCGAGUGGCGGACGGGUGAGUAAUGUCUGGGAAACUGCCCGAUGGAGGGGGAUAACUACUGGAAACGGUAGCUAAUACCGCAUAACGUCGCGAGACCAAAGUGGGGGACCUUCGGGCCUCACACCAUCGGAUGUGCCCAGAUGGGAUUAGCUAGUAGGUGGGGUAAUGGCUCACCUAGGCGACGAUCCCUAGCUGGUCUGAGAGGAUGACCAGCCACACUGGAACUGAGACACGGUCCAGACUCCUACGGGAGGCAGCAGUGGGGAAUAUUGCACAAUGGGCGCAAGCCUGAUGCAGCCAUGCCGCGUGUAUGAAGAAGGCCUUCGGGUUGUAAAGUACUUUCAGCGGGGAGGAAGGCGGUGAGGUUAAUAACCUCGCCGAUUGACGUUACUCGCAGAAGAAGCACCGGCUAACUCCGUGCCAGCCGCCGCAGUAA
RNAcentral lists this ribosomal RNA (506 nucleotides) under uncultured bacterium. Its description in RNAcentral is "partial 16S ribosomal RNA". It matches the Rfam family "Bacterial small subunit ribosomal RNA", at positions 30 to 523 of the family's 1533-position model. The record is from RNAcentral.